Molecule: long non-coding RNA, 1680 nt
Filed under: Triticum aestivum (bread wheat)
Lineage: Eukaryota; Viridiplantae; Streptophyta; Magnoliopsida; Poales; Poaceae
Description: long non-coding RNA (TAES_LNC009801)
Source: RNAcentral
GAACCGAUCGUGGGUGUGGGUCGCCGAAGGGAGGGCAGGACGCGAUCAUUGGCAGGAAAAGGAACCGUAUGUGUUUUUUAGAUAAUAGGACAAUGCCCGUGCGUAGCAAUGGGAGCAUAGAUAUUCGUACCCCCAUCUGGGAGUAUAUAUUUAGGCCUCCUACACAUCUUGUCGAACGUAAAUAUCUUUAGGAUCCUCAUGCACACCAUACAAUAUUGUUAGGGUUUCACCGAUAAUCACUCUUUAUUAUAUUGUAACCAUGAUAGAUAGUACUUACUUCAUAAUAUGCAUUCGGCCUUGUCUUUCUUUUUCAACAAGUGGUGUAGUUAAUUGAGGUGCAGACCACAAAGCACGUAGUUCUACUGAUAACUGCUCUGCUGAGACAUAUAAUUUUUUCAUGUUCAGUUAUUAACGUUAUACAAAAAAGGAUGAAUAUGUUAUACAUUAUGAUUUGUACUUCCUCUGCAUUAUCCAAGCAGAAAAACAUUAAUCUAUCUAUACAAAGCGACAGUAACUGUUAAUUUCUUUUACUAAUCUCCCAAUCUUACUCACAUAAACAUAUAUAGCCUAUAAUUUCUGAAACCACCCUUGAUAUGACCGAGUAGCACACGUUUCCUUGGCCCCAGUAUAUUUCUUGUUCGUAUUCCUUAUCUACCUUGCAUCCAAACAAAAAUCAUGGAAACCACAAGGACAACAAUUAACCAAUCAGCCACAUGCAAUUCAUAUUAGCACAUAAGAGAAUCUAUACACUCUCAGCUCACAGACUAAUCCAAUGAAAUACAUCUCAUUUGAGAAAUGACCAAGGGGUGAAGUACACUAAUUUUCACCUUGUGCAGACUGAGUUUUGUUAGUACUGCAGAUCCUUGUAGUCAUACUGGCUUCAAGUGGCCAACUUGCCUUGCACCCACCCUUUGUACGCAGCUGCCGACGUACUUGUACUUGCACUUGCAUGGCUGGACUUGUACGCAGGAUUCUGAGUCGUUCAGAUUAUGUUCAGCUGGUUAGAAACAACCUUAGAAUAGAAACAUACCAUUUGUUCUCUUUUUCUGGAGCCUGGCCAGAUUGAGAGCUCGCCACUUUGCAGAAGAAUAACGUCAGAGUCCCUAUACCAGAAAGAACUUAAGAACAAAAUGAACAAAAGCACUCAAACAAUUGUGAAACAAUUUCCAGAAACAAAAUCCACCACACCCCGUUCUAGCAACCCAGUUGUUCAGAAAUUCAGUCAAGAUAGAUUGAACAGAUAGAUAAAACUGGAAGCAAUUAGGACUAUAUAAUGGUAGGAACAACCUGGUUGUCCAGAAAGGGAUUUGCCAAAUUCGAUUAGAAUUUCAUAUCGGGGAAAAAAUAUAGGGAUUUGCCAUUAUGGCAGGUCGAAGUAGAAUAGAGCUAGUGGAAACUAAAAGUCUGAAAUCUGAAAUUAUCUACCCACUGCACCUGACGGCUGGCUCUAGCAUUUGAGUUCACAUGUCCAAAUAAUGCAAUGUGAGAUCGUGUUGGAGAGGAACACGAGAUCACGGAUCACCCACAAAAAAAACAUGAGAUCACGGAGGACAAGCUCACCCGGCGGGGGGAGAUGUGGGCGCGCUUGGUAGCACGACGAUGGGGAGCUCGAGAAAGAGCACGACUGGAGCCGCCACCACCCACCGUUGGAGCGAACCAGCUGUGGUCGCCGACGUUCAG